UGGGGAAUAUUGGGCAAUGGGCGAAAGCCUGACCCAGCGACGCCGCGUGAGGGAAGAAGGUCUUCGGAUUGUAAACCUCUUUCAGCAGGGAAGAAGGAAGUGACGGUACCUGCAGAAGAAGUCACGGCUAACUACGUGCCAGCAGCCGCGGUAAUACGUAGGUGGCGAGCGUUAUCCGGAAUUACUGGGUGUAAAGGGUGUGUAGGCGGGGAGGCAAGUCAGAUGUGAAAACCAGAAGCUCAACUUCUGGCCUGCAUUUGAAACUGUUUCUCUUGAGAGUGGGAGAGGUAAACGGAAUUCCUGGUGUAGUAGUGAAAUGCGUAGAUAUCAGGAGGAACACCGGUGGCGAAGGCGGUUUACUGGACCACAACUGACGCUGAGACACGAAAGCGUGGGGAGC
This 400-nucleotide ribosomal RNA is filed under the name uncultured bacterium. Its description in RNAcentral is "bacterial SSU rRNA". It matches the Rfam family "Bacterial small subunit ribosomal RNA", at positions 355 to 769 of the family's 1533-position model. The record is from RNAcentral.